AUAAAUUUCUACUGUUUAGGAGCCACCCAGUCUGUGAUAUUUUGUUAUAGCAGCCCAAACAAAGACACUGCCUUUAUGGAAUUUAUAGUCCUUGGAAUAUAUUCUGUGACUUAGUUUUCUGUCUGAAAAAUGUGUCUUAAAAAUAUGUAGCAAUUACACUGACAUUAGCUACCGCUUAGUGAGUGUAAACUAUGUGUGUGACACCAGUCUUAUCCCUUAAUCAUAUUAUCUCAUUCUACACUCCCAAUAGAACUAAGAGGAAAAUGCCUGGCAGCAGUAUGAAAGAUGAAUCAGAAAGAGGAGAGAAUGAAGCAGGUGAAUCAGAGGCUGAAUCUCAGUGUGAAUAAAUCAAAGUGGAAAAGCCCAUCUCUUCCAAGCUAAGAAGAAACAAUCAAGAGAGACCUCUCUAUUCUUCAGUUUCAGAAGCUCCACACCUCCUUGCUCCCCUCAGCUCACCUCCUUUUCGAAGACAGCUUGCUGCUGACACCUCACUGCUGACUUCCACAGCCGGCCUCAGCAAACUGUCCCUGGCAAAGCCUCAUGCACUUGGAGGUGCUUGUCAGAGGCGGCCUAGGAUUGGACCUUCCCUUGCGGGAGCUUCCAAAACACCUUCCUCUGCACAGGGGUCAUAAGUUCAGACACAGAAUGAUCCGUGGUAGCACUUUCUCCCUCUGAAAGGAAAUUUCACAGAGACAAGGGAAGAAAUCUAGACUGGAGCAACCAACUGGAGAUUAGAAACUGAAAGUAGGUCUGGAUGAGGAAGAUUGGAGCUGUUGAUAGCAGCAGAAUUCUGAAUUCUCAACCAUUCUUGAGUAAAUGGUGAAAAGAAAAGUCAUAAAGAUUAAUCAUUUCUGACGCUAAAGGAGGCGUUUGUUUUAUUGGCCACCAGAUACGUAUAUAAUCCUUUCCCUUUCUUCUUCCACAGUGCUGUUCUAGAGCAAAGGCAUGGGAGGAAAGGAGGAGACCGAGUAGGGAGGGGUGGAGGCCAGUCUUCAGGGGUGAAAAUGCUAGAGUUUCACAAUGUCUUCCCCUGUCAGCUUCCUGUGUUUCUGUUGUCUUCCUCUAAAACUUCUCUAUUUUUACUGUCAGGCUGAAUGAGCUGGAACAUUCUCAGGAGGAUCUUUGCCUA
Molecule: long non-coding RNA, 1129 nt
Organism: Canis lupus familiaris (dog)
Lineage: Eukaryota; Metazoa; Chordata; Mammalia; Carnivora; Canidae
Exons: 4
Source: RefSeq, a predicted model, not a curated record